GACGAACGCUGGCGGCGUGCUUAACACAUGCAAGUCGAACGGAAAGGCUCUGCUUUCGUGGGGUGCUCGAGUGGCGAACGGGUGUGUAACACGUGAGUAAUCUGCCCUUGACUUUGGGAUAACUUCAGGAAACUGGGGCUAAUACCGGAUAGGAGCUCCUGCUGCAUGGGGGGGGUUGGAAAGUUUCGGCGGUUGGGGUAGGACUCGCGGCUUAUCAGCUUGUUGGUGGGGUAGUGGCUUACCAAGGCUUUGACGGGUAGCCGGUCGGAGUGGGUGACCGGCCACACUGGGACUGUGAUACGGCCCAGACGGCUACGGGAGGCAGCGGUGGGGAAUGUUGCACGAUGGGCGGAAGCCUGAUGCAGCAACGCCGGGUGCGGGAUGACGGCCUUCUGGUUGUAAACCGCGUGCGCCUGUGACGAAGCGUGAGGGACGUUAGUGAGUAAAGAAGCACCGGCUGACUACGUG
RNAcentral lists this ribosomal RNA (468 nucleotides) under uncultured bacterium. RNAcentral's name for it is "partial 16S ribosomal RNA". It matches the Rfam family "Bacterial small subunit ribosomal RNA", at positions 28 to 507 of the family's 1533-position model. The record is from RNAcentral.